GUCGGAUAUGGUGAUAUGACUCCGCACACAUCAUUUGGAAGGCUUGUUGGGUCGCUUUGUGCCGUCAUGGGUGUGCUCACAAUUGCACUUCCGGUUCCGGUAUGUAUUUUAAU
RNAcentral lists this small RNA (113 nucleotides) under Caenorhabditis japonica. RNAcentral's name for it is "sRNA CJA48938". It matches the Rfam family "Potassium channel RNA editing signal". Rfam says of the family: This family represents a group of sequences related to the human potassium channel Kv1.1 hairpin element which directs the efficient modification of an adenosine to inosine by an adenosine deaminase acting on RNA (ADAR). The ADAR modification causes an isoleucine/valine recoding event which lies in the ion-conducting pore of the potassium channel. Lineage: Eukaryota; Metazoa; Nematoda; Chromadorea; Rhabditida; Rhabditidae. The record is from RNAcentral.